RNAcentral lists this ribosomal RNA (468 nucleotides) under uncultured bacterium. RNAcentral describes it as "partial 16S ribosomal RNA". It matches the Rfam family "Bacterial small subunit ribosomal RNA", at positions 28 to 507 of the family's 1533-position model. The record is from RNAcentral.
GACGAACGCUGGCGGCGUGCUUAACACAUGCAAGUCGAACGGAAAGGCCCUGCUUUUGUGGGGUGCUCGAGUGGCGAACGGGUGAGUAACACGUGAGUAACCUGCCCUUGACUUUGGGAUAACUUCAGGAAACUGGGGCUCAUACCGGAUAGGAGCUCUUGCUGCAUGGUGGGGGUUGGAAAGUUUCGGCGGUUGGGGAUGGACUCGCGGCUUAUCAGCUUGUUGGUGGGGUAGUGGAUUACCAAGGCUUUGACGGGUAGCCGGCCUGAGAGGGGGACCGGCCACAUUGGGACUGAGAUACGGCCCAGACUCCUACGGGAGGCAGCAGUGGAGAAUAUUGCACAAUGGGCGGAAGCCAGAUGCAGCAACGCCGCGUGCGGGAUGACGGCCUUCGGGUUGGAAACCGCUUUCGCCUGUGACGAAGCGUGAGUGACGGUAAUGGGUAAAGAAGCACCGGCUAACUACGUG